CUUAUUCAGUGCUUCUUGUGCAGCUGUACUCGUAAAAGAUAGGUUUGCAUACGAGUAAUAGCAUAAUCUCUUGCAUCAGCAUGUGCUGCUGACUUCAACUAUUGUAUCAUUACCUAAGAAUCUAAGAUCACGCACAAAUAAUAGAAAAGAUUGCUGAAGUGCUGUGAAUUAAUGUAGAUUUUUUAAUUUAUAAUGUAUUUCAAUUAUUUGAGGUCCCCCCAG
This 222-nucleotide long non-coding RNA is filed under the name Elaeis guineensis (African oil palm). Its description in RNAcentral is "long non-coding RNA (EGUI_LNC060234)". Lineage: Eukaryota; Viridiplantae; Streptophyta; Magnoliopsida; Arecales; Arecaceae. The record is from RNAcentral.